Molecule: ribosomal RNA, 1167 nt
Filed under: Paraburkholderia fungorum
Lineage: Bacteria; Pseudomonadati; Pseudomonadota; Betaproteobacteria; Burkholderiales; Burkholderiaceae
Description: bacterial SSU rRNA
Rfam family: Bacterial small subunit ribosomal RNA
Source: RNAcentral
GGGCCUGGCGGCUGCCUUACACAUGCAGUCGAACGGCAGCACGGGGGCAACCCUGGUGGCGAGUGGCGAACGGGUGAGUAAUACAUCGGAACGUGUCCUGUAGUGGGGGAUAGCCCGGCGAAAGCCGGAUUAAUACCGCAUACGCUCUACGGAGGAAAGGGGGGGAUCUUAGGACCUCCCGCUACAGGGGCGGCCGAUGGCAGAUUAGCUAGUUGGUGGGGUAAAGGCCUACCAAGGCGACGAUCUGUAGCUGGUCUGAGAGGACGACCAGCCACACUGGGACUGAGACACGGCCCAGACUCCUACGGGAGGCAGCAGUGGGGAAUUUUGGACAAUGGGGGCAACCCUGAUCCAGCAAUGCCGCGUGUGUGAAGAAGGCCUUCGGGUUGUAAAGCACUUUUGUCCGGAAAGAAAACGCCGUGGUUAAUACCCGUGGCGGAUGACGGUACCGGAAGAAUAAGCACCGGCUAACUACGUGCCAGCAGCCGCGGUAAUACGUAGGGUGCAAGCGUUAAUCGGAAUUACUGGGCGUAAAGCGUGCGCAGGCGGUCCGCUAAGACAGAUGUGAAAUCCCCGGGCUUAACCUGGGAACUGCAUUUGUGACUGGCGGGCUAGAGUAUGGCAGAGGGGGGUAGAAUUCCACGUGUAGCAGUGAAAUGCGUAGAGAUGUGGAGGAAUACCGAUGGCGAAGGCAGCCCCCUGGGCCAAUACUGACGCUCAUGCACGAAAGCGUGAGGAGCAAACAGGAUUAGAUACCCUGGUAGUCCACGCCCUAAACGAUGUCAACUAGUUGUCGGGUCUUCAUUGACUUGGUAACGUAGCUAACGCGUGAAGUUGACCGCCUGGGGAGUACGGUCGCAAGAUUAAAACUCAAAGGAAUUGACGGGGACCCGCACAAGCGGUGGAUGAUGUGGAUUAAUUCGAUGCAACGCGAAAAACCUUACCUACCCUUGACAUGUAUGGAAUCCUGCUGAGAGGUGGGAGUGCCCGAAAGGGAGCCAUAACACAGUGCUGCAUGGCUGUCGUCAGCUCGUGUCGUGAGAAUGUUGGGGUUAAGUCCCCGCAACGAGCGCAACCCUUGUCCUAGUUGCUACGUCAGAGCACUCUAGGAGACUGCCGGUGACAAACCCGGAAGGAAAGGUGGGGAAUGACGUUCAGUCCUUCAUG